CCGUGUUCUGGUCGGUGUGGACGUGGGGCUGGGCGUUCGUGCUGUUCGUGGCGCUGCCGAUCACGGCGGUGUACGCGGC
This 79-nucleotide transfer RNA is filed under the name Planctomycetota bacterium. RNAcentral describes it as "tRNA-Thr". The record is from RNAcentral. Lineage: Bacteria; Pseudomonadati; Planctomycetota. RNAcentral also lists the same sequence under 1 other name.